Molecule: ribosomal RNA, 455 nt
Filed under: uncultured cyanobacterium
Lineage: Bacteria; Bacillati; Cyanobacteriota
Description: bacterial SSU rRNA
Rfam family: Bacterial small subunit ribosomal RNA
Source: RNAcentral
AUUGUAUCCACGAUUGGGGAAUUUUCCGCAAUGGGCGAAAGCCUGACGGAGCAAUACCGCGUGAGGGAGGAAGGCUUUUGGGUUGUAAACCCCUUUUAUCAGGGAAGAAGACAGUGACGGUACCUGAUGAAUCAGCAUCGGCUAACUCCGUGCCAGCAGCCGCGGUAAUACGGAGGAUGCAAGCGUUAUCCGGAUUUAUUGGGCGUAAAGGGUCCGCAGGUGGUUAUACAAGUCUGCUGUUAAAGCGCAGGGCUUAACUCUGUAACGGCGGUGGAAACUGUGUAACUAGAGAGUGGUAGGGGUAGCGGGAAUUCCCAGUGUAGCGGUGAAAUGCGUAGAUAUUGGGAAGAACACCAGCGGCGAAAGCGCGCUACUGGGCCACGACUGACACUGAGGGACGAAAGCUAGGGGAGCGAAAGGGAUUAGAUACCCCUGUAGUCAAUCGUGGAUACAAU